GACGAACGCUGGCGGCAUGCCUAAUACAUGCAAGUCGAGCGAACGGAUGAAGUGCUUGCACUUCUGACGUUAGCGGCGAACGGGUGAGUAACACGUAAGGAAUCUACCUAGAAGCGGGGGAUAACAUUCGGAAACGGGUGCUAAUACCGCAUAAUAUCUUCUUCCGCAUGGAAGAAGAUUGAAAGACGGCUCUGCUGUCACUUAUAGAUGACCUUGCGGUGCAUUAGUUAGUUGGUGGGGUAAUGGCCUACCAAGACGAUGAUGCAUAGCCGACCUGAGAGUGUGAUCGGCCACAUUGGGACUGAGACACGGCCCAAACUCCUACGGGAGGCAGCAGUCGGGAAUCUUCCGCAAUGGGCGAAAGCCUGACGGAGCAAUGCCGCGUGAGUGAAGAAGGCCUUCGGGUCGUAAAACUCUGUUAUAAGAAAAGAACAAAUUGUAGAGUAACUGCUACAGUCUUGACGGUAUCUUAUCAGAAAGCCACGGCUAACUACGUGCCAGCCGCCGCGGUAA
Molecule: ribosomal RNA, 513 nt
Filed under: uncultured bacterium
Lineage: Bacteria
Description: partial 16S ribosomal RNA
Rfam family: Bacterial small subunit ribosomal RNA
Source: RNAcentral